GGGGCUGGCGGCUGGGGCUUCUUCUGAAAUUAUACACCCAUACACACACACACGAUACAGUAGAGGUGAAAACACACAGGAGAAUACACAACACGUGCAUGGAAAUUGAGUAGUGCAGAUUCCUCUUAAAAUUAACGACGAAAUAAAUAAGCAAAUUACAGAAUCCUUUUGCAAACGAACAACAGAAGCUUUGGACGAAAAUUAGUUCAUUUUUCUUUCUCUGAGUUCUGUUCUGAUAUGAAUCAUGGAGACGGUUUGAGUUUUGAAAUCAAGUCGAAGUGCCGAUCUAAGUCCUGUCCGCAUCAAUUUUCUAAUUUCCACACAAAUGGAUUUCGUGUCGAUUCUUUCUGAAGUCGUAGCGAUGUUCGGCUGUAAUUGUUGAUUCAUUUCAAGUUCGUAUAAAUUUCAGGUUCAUUUCUUCUCCAUAUUUUCGUUACACGUGAUUUUGUGUCUCGUGUUCAUAUUUUGUCAUGAUUUUGUUUAAUACUAUCUGAAAAGCAGCAGUCGUUGUUGGUUUAAAUGCCGAGUUCUUUUGGCCUUUAUUCAAGUCUAUUUGUGUUCUCGUUUAUUUUAUCUUGGAUGGGUGAUCGUACGCACUUAUGUAAUGGUUGUGGUUGUAUAAACUCAUCCAGUUUGUUUGUUAAAUUUAAGCGCUAAAACAGAUUCGUGGAGUCAUAAAUGUUGAAGCCCGCUUGUUUGAUCCUUUUGUUGGUUUGCUGGAGUUUGAACACUAAGAAACUUGUGUGCAUUGUUCAUUCGUAAAUUAGUGAGUUCAAAUUUAUCUUCUUAUUGAUUCAUGACUAGAUUUGAUUCUAAGGUAGUCUGUUUAAGCUAUGUCAAUUUCUCUGGUGCAUUGUGGCUGAAAUCUGAGUUCGAACAUAGACUGCUUGUUGAGAAUAUGACUUUGCUUUAGACCAAAUGUUUUGGGGACUGUAUUGAAUGCAUUUUAGUCGAGGGAAGCCAUUAGCGACUCAAAUUCAGGUGGUUGUUCUAAAAAUUGUUGAAUUAAGUUAGCUUCGUGAGUCGAGAAUUCUUAUCAUUAAUCCCUUAGCUUCCAUUUGCUUAGAAUUCCUUGCGCAUGUUUAAGUUCAUUGUCCCGUUCUAAGAGGAAAGUUCAGCAUGUUCAAAGUCCCUUCUCUUUGCCUUUUUAGUUUCUCUUUGUUUUUUAGAAAACCUUAAUCUGUCCUUUUCCUUGA
This 1196-nucleotide long non-coding RNA is filed under the name Nicotiana benthamiana. RNAcentral's name for it is "long non-coding RNA (NBEN_LNC017574)". Lineage: Eukaryota; Viridiplantae; Streptophyta; Magnoliopsida; Solanales; Solanaceae. The record is from RNAcentral.